This 421-nucleotide unclassified non-coding RNA is filed under the name uncultured Coprinellus. RNAcentral's name for it is "sequence contains ITS2". The stretch from base 1 to 154 matches the Rfam family "5.8S ribosomal RNA". Lineage: Eukaryota; Fungi; Basidiomycota; Agaricomycetes; Agaricales; Psathyrellaceae. The record is from RNAcentral.
AACUUUUGGCAAUGGAUCUCUUGGCUCUCGCAUCGAUGAAGAACGCAGCGAAAUGGGAUAAGUAAUGUGAAUUGCAGAAUUCAGUGAAUCAUCGAAUCUUUGAACGCACCUUGCGCUCCUUGGUAUUCCGAGGAGCAUGCCGUUUUGAGUGUCAUUAAAUUAUCAACCUCAUCAGUUUUGUCACCGGAACUGUGUGAAGGCCUGGAUGUGGAGGUUUAUGCAGUCUGACUCAGUGCGGUCUGCUCCUCUGAAAUGCAUUAGCGAGUUUCACUAUGCUCCGUCUAUUGGUGUGAUAAUUAUCUACGCCGUGGAAGGGGUUUAGAUUUGCUUGUACCCCUCCGCAAGGUAAACACUUUGACAUUUUGACAUCAACUCAGGUAGGAAUACCAGCUGAACUUAAGAAUAUCAAUAAGCGGAGGCU